AGACUCUUGGGGGAUUCCUUAGUGAGUGAGUUCACUGCUCAAAGAAGGGCUUUGCCACUUCUGCAGGGAAGCCAGCCACGGGCCAGCAUCUUGAAAGCGCCACAAGCAGCAGCUGCUGAGCCAUGGCUGAAGGGGAAAUCACCACCUUCACAGCCCUGACCGAGAAGUUUAAUCUGCCUCCAGGGAAUUACAAGAAGCCCAAACUCCUCUACUGUAGCAACGGGGGCCACUUCCUGAGGAUCCUUCCGGAUGGCACAGUGGAUGGGACAAGGGACAGGAGCGACCAGCACAGUAAGC
RNAcentral lists this long non-coding RNA (297 nucleotides) under Homo sapiens (human). Its description in RNAcentral is "non-protein coding lnc-SPRY4-5:3". Lineage: Eukaryota; Metazoa; Chordata; Mammalia; Primates; Hominidae. The record is from RNAcentral.